GUUGUUGGGGUUGGGGUUAAGAUUAAGGUUGGGGUUAAGGUUCAGUGGUUAAGAUUAAGGUUGGGGUUAACAUUCAGUGGUUAAGAUUAAGGUUGGGGUUAAGAUUAAGGUUCAGUGGUUAAGAUUAAGGUUGGGGUUAAGAUUAAGGGUUAGCAGUUUUUUAAUAAGAUUAUCGGGAUCAAUGUUCGAUUCAUUGUGCAGCCCUAAUGAGUGAUGACAUAAAUUCAUCCAUAAUGUAAUUGUAUAUGCGACGAUAAAGGCUUUCUAAUGUCCAAAUCAGCAUGAAAAUGCUUCGAUAGUCAACUGUUAAAAAUUAUGAACUGUAUUCUAUCACAUGGAUUAACACUGUUAUUAUUGAGGACUUUUUUUUUUUUUAUCUCAAUAAUACAGUCUGUGCUGCAACACUUACAUUUUUCCCGUCCUUUAGUGUCAGUACUUCACAGAUUGGCCACUAGAGGGAGGCAGAGCAUCAGACAUCAUCUUGAGCUUGGAUAGGGAGGAGACACCACGGUAGGACAUGGCUCAUUACUAAAUCUAACCCAAGCACAGAAAAGAGCUGGCAGGAAGAAGCAAGGAAAAAUAAACAAAACUCACAGAGCAUGAAAUCGCUACGGUAUUUACAGCCUUUAGCGGGUGGGCAUUUAGACCGGUGUCCUGCAGGACCAAGCCAACAAAUCAAACCCUCCACAGGAUAUGUAAACUUCAGGCUUCAUUACCAACACAUCGCUUAACCGGCUGUAUAACACCCAGGUCUCUACAUGUCCUGCCUUCAGGAUUUGAUCUGUGCCAAAAAAGAUUAGCCGUUGAUUUUAUUUAAGAGUCUUUAAAGGAAUCCCAACCAUGCCUUGUUUUUCAGGAGAAAAUCGCCUGGAGUUAAAGGACAGACAGGUGUUGACCCUUCACCCCUAAAACUUGACCUUGCACGUAUAGAUGAGAUAAACGGUGCCGAGUGGGUGGGGUCUAAUCCUCGUCACGCCGCCGGGGUCUGACAUACGAGUGAGACGAAUCAAAAAUGUAAAAACCAGUCGGACCGCUCGAGGUGCAUUCAGCCCUGAAGCAUGUUAAGCCCUUCUCGGUCGUUUAUACUCCCUAAAACCUGUGCAUGACUCACACGCACGCGCACACACCCAUGCUCGAAAGAUAUUACGCACUAACAAAGGAGCUUUUAAAAGCGUGUACUAUUAUUAACGCUGUACAAAUAUAUAAAACAAUUACCAUACAGAGGAAGUGGAUUAUCUCAAAUACUAGGUUCAUGAUGGACAGGUAGCAUGUGCUCACGUCCUGUAGUGUGCGUGUGUGUCCGAGUGUGUGUUUCAGAGUGGGGGUAAAAGUGGAAGGGGGUGGAGGGUCGGGGUUUUCUAGGUUCCAUCUGUUUCUUCGGACAUCCCGUUGACACUCUUUCCCUUUCCUGUGAACUGGUGUCUUUAUUCUCUCGACACGUUUCCAGGAAACGCGGCGGUACAGAAUCCCGACGCAGACGGACGGACGGGCGACGUUCUUCAAGCACCGCUUUCCACGCGGCUGAGGGAGGGUGCUUUUAUAUAGGAUCUCCGCUAGACUCGUAGUCGUAUAGUAAGCGAUCUUGAGAGUAGUGGUUGUUGUUCCCGUCAUCCCACCGAGCCCACGAAUUCGGUUUCUAUCCACUUUAUUAGGAACACCUGUACACCUAGACUUUCGUGCAAUUUCCCGAUCGGCAAUUAAUCCAAACAUCAGGAUAGGGGGAAAACAUUUGAUCUCAGUUCGUCUGACCGUGGAAGGCUGGUUUGAGUAUUUCAGAAACUGCUGAUCUGUGAUUUUCACACGACGGUCUCGCGAUCCAGUAAACGGCAGCUCUGUGGGCUGACGAGACAGGCCCGAGAAGAACGGCUAGACGGGUUUCGAAGCUGACCGGAAGUCUAUGAGGACUCAAAGAACCGCUCUUUGUGGUUGAAUCGCUUGGCAGCAGGGCCUCUGAUUUAUACGUCUGUACAGGGAGGAAUGGUAUGCAAAGCUGUAGAAUGCGAUAGCUGCAAUGCUGCGAUGAUUAUUUAUAAAGCGGAAUACGGUAUGUCGCUUUAAAAAUAUCUUGCGGCACGGUGACACGCGGGUAUGUUUCACAGGGACGUGACCGUCUUUGCGGAUAUGAGUGAAUGUUAACAGGUUUCCACGUGGACGUAAACUUCCUGGUGAUGGCACGAGUGCUAUAGCGACACAACGGCAUCACGUCCUCUCUCGCGGACGCCUCAGAGCUAAACGUCACGGCGCAGAGACGCACAGGACGGCUGGGUACGCUGAAGGUGCGGGAAGAAUCCGUCAGGAACAUCAGAAGGGAAAAGCGUCUUUCUGUCUGUCUGUCUGUCUACUGAUCUAUCCAUCUGUCGGUCUAUCCAUCGGUCUAUCCAUCUGUCUAUCUAUCUAUCCGUCUGUCUGUCUGUCUUAUCUAUCCGUCUGUCUGUCUGUGUAUCUAUCAGUUUAUCCAUCUUUCUAUCUAUCCAUCUGUCUAUCUAUCCAUCUGUCUGUCUAUCUAUC
Long non-coding RNA from Ictalurus punctatus (channel catfish), 2508 nucleotides. The record is from Ensembl. NCBI's taxonomy places the organism in Eukaryota, Metazoa, Chordata, Actinopteri, Siluriformes, Ictaluridae.